UUCUCUUUUAUUAGAA
Molecule: transfer RNA, 16 nt
Filed under: Cerapanorpa xuebaodinga
Lineage: Eukaryota; Metazoa; Arthropoda; Insecta; Mecoptera; Panorpidae
Description: partial tRNA-Leu
Source: RNAcentral